Molecule: unclassified non-coding RNA, 352 nt
Filed under: fungal sp.
Lineage: Eukaryota; Fungi
Description: partial internal transcribed spacer region
Rfam family: Eukaryotic small subunit ribosomal RNA (bases 1-46)
Source: RNAcentral
AAGUCGUAACAAGGUUUCCGUAGGUGAACCUGCGGAAGGAUCAUUAACACGUAUCCACGUAUCCAUCCCUGUGGUCCUGUGCGCGGCUCUAUAUGUGAGUGGUAGAAACCACUGUGUAACCUGCGUGGUUGCAUUCAAGAUUUUUGGAUUGGAUCAAACUAACCUGCGUGGUUUGUGGCCCAAUUUACAAAAUCGGUAAUACCAGCUUUCUGCGAGAAAGCAGCUCCAUAUAGCAGACGUUUUAACCAAACCAUUUACCUAAUUUGACUAAUUUAGAAAUAAGUACGAUGCGCUCUGCUUUAUUUCGACAUACGAAACGUAACAACUCUUAACAACGGAUAUCUUGGUUCUC